AGCGAACGCUGGCGGCAGGCCUAACACAUGCGAGUCGAACGAACUCUUCGGAGUUAGUGGCGGACGGGUGAGUAACACGUGGGAACGUGCCUUUAGGUUCGGAAUAACUCAGGGAAACUUGUGCUAAUACCGAAUGUGCCCUUCGGGGGAAAGAUUUAUCGCCUUUAGAGCGGCCCGCGUCUGAUUAGCUAGUUGGUGAGGUAAAGGCUCACCAAGGCGACGAUCAGUAGCUGGUCUGAGAGGAUGAUCAGCCACAUUGGGACUGAGACACGGCCCAAACUCCUACGGGAGGCAGCAGUGGGGAAUCUUGCGCAAUGGGCGAAAGGCUGACGCAGCCAUGCCGCGUGAAUGAUGAAGGUCUUAGGAUUGUAAAAUUCUUUCACCGGGGACGAUAAUGACGGUACCCGGAGAAGAAGCCCCGGCUAACUUCGUG
This 433-nucleotide ribosomal RNA is filed under the name uncultured bacterium. RNAcentral's name for it is "partial 16S ribosomal RNA". It matches the Rfam family "Bacterial small subunit ribosomal RNA", at positions 29 to 507 of the family's 1533-position model. The record is from RNAcentral.